This 422-nucleotide ribosomal RNA is filed under the name uncultured prokaryote. RNAcentral describes it as "bacterial SSU rRNA". It matches the Rfam family "Bacterial small subunit ribosomal RNA", at positions 355 to 774 of the family's 1533-position model. The record is from RNAcentral.
UGAGGAAUAUUGGUCAAUGGGCGCAGGCCUGAACCAGCCAAGUAGCGUGAAGGAUGACUGCCCUAUGGGUUGUAAACUUCUUUUAUAUGGGAAUAAAGUUUUCCACGUGUGGAAUUUUGUAUGUACCAUAUGAAUAAGGAUCGGCUAACUCCGUGCCAGCAGCCGCGGUAAUACGGAGGAUCCGAGCGUUAUCCGGAUUUAUUGGGUUUAAAGGGAGCGUAGGUGGACAGUUAAGUCAGUUGUGAAAGUUUGCGGCUCAACCGUAAAAUUGCAGUUGAGACUGGCUGUCUAGAGUACAGUAGAGGUGGGCGGAAUUCGGGGUGUAGCGGUGAAAUGCUUAGAUAUCACGAAGAACUCCGAUUGCGAAGGCAGCUCACUGGACUGCAACUGACACUGAUGCUCGAAAGUGUGGGUAUCAAACA